AUGCCCAACAACCUUGCAGCUCCAGCCUCCGGCGCGGCCAACCUGUUCGACGCAAUGCACAGGAAGUUUAGCGACGGCGAGGACCGCAUCGGCGCGCUCCAGGACGACGUCCUGUUGCACCUCAUGUCGUUUCUUCCGUCGCGCGACGCCGUGCGCACGUGCGUGCUCGCCAAGCGCUGGCGCACGCUUUGGAAGUCCGUGCCCGCGCUGCGCAUCGAGGACGACCCGGACGGCUACCGUGUCUGCGAGUGCAUGGACGAGACGGACCACGACGGCAUGGAUGAAUUUGACUAUGUCCCAGAACGGCCCGCUCAAACAUGUUUCGUUGACGACCUGCUCCGCCUCCGCGACCCGACGCCGUUGAACCAUGCCAUUACUGCAAACCGCAUCGUUGAGUCUGUAAACGAUAAGACAUGUGAAGGAUGCUCUUUUGAUGUGGUUCUGGAAGGCUUGUCCCGUGCUACGAAUUUGAAGUUAACAGCAGCUCAUUAUCAGGUAUCUAUUUUCAGAGUGGAUUUGAAAUGGGGCCAUACGUUUAGCAAGCUAAAAACACUGUUGCUCAAUAAAUGGUGUGUGGCUGAUGACUUCACUGGAUCGGUUUACUUUCUUCAGCACGCACCAAUUCUAGAGACGCUUCUGCUUCAGCUUGAUCUUCGAACUUCUGAGGUAUACACAUUCUCUGAGUAUCAUAGCUUUCGUCUUUGA
This 705-nucleotide ribosomal RNA is filed under the name Triticum aestivum (bread wheat). RNAcentral's name for it is "partial small subunit ribosomal RNA". The record is from RNAcentral. Lineage: Eukaryota; Viridiplantae; Streptophyta; Magnoliopsida; Poales; Poaceae.